Molecule: ribosomal RNA, 253 nt
Filed under: uncultured bacterium
Lineage: Bacteria
Description: partial 16S ribosomal RNA
Rfam family: Bacterial small subunit ribosomal RNA
Source: RNAcentral
UACGAAGGGGGCUAGCGUUGCUCGGAAUCACUGGGCGUAAAGGGUGCGUAGGCGGGUCUUUAAGUCAGGGGUGAAAUCCUGGAGCUCAACUCCAGAACUGCCUUUGAUACUGAGGAGCUUGAGUCCGGGAGAGGUGAGUGGAACUGCGAGUGUAGAGGUGAAAUUCGUAGAUAUUCGCAAGAACACCAGUGGCGAAGGCGGCUCACUGGCCCGGUACUGACGCUGAGGUACGAAAGCGUGGGGAGCAAACAGG